CCGGCGACCGGCGCACGGGUGAGUAACACGUAUGCAACCUGUCCGUCUCAGGGGGAUAAUCGUCGGAAACGGCGUCUAAUACCCCGUAUGAAGCUGGACGGCAUCGUCUGGUUUUGAAAGAAUAUCGGAGACGGAUGGGCAUGCGGCGCAUUAGCUAGUUGGCGGGGUAACGGCCCACCAAGGCGACGAUGCGUAGGGGUUCUGAGAGGAAGGUCCCCCACACUGGUACUGAGACACGGACCAGACUCCUACGGGAGGCAGCAG
RNAcentral lists this ribosomal RNA (264 nucleotides) under uncultured bacterium. RNAcentral's name for it is "partial 16S ribosomal RNA". It matches the Rfam family "Bacterial small subunit ribosomal RNA", at positions 88 to 354 of the family's 1533-position model. The record is from RNAcentral.